Molecule: small nucleolar RNA, 218 nt
Organism: Anguilla rostrata (American eel)
Lineage: Eukaryota; Metazoa; Chordata; Actinopteri; Anguilliformes; Anguillidae
Product: small nucleolar RNA SNORA73 family
Exons: 1
Source: RefSeq, a predicted model, not a curated record
CCGACGCGGACGGCCCGCGAGGCCGCCCUCGCGCGGCUCUGUCCGUGUGGCGUAUGGGAGCGUAGCACACGCCGUGACGCGCAGUCCCGUUCCACGACGUUGGACAGCAAGCUUGUCCCCGGCCCUCAGGGCUGGUGAGGACAGCGUCCUGUAUAUUCCUACACCUUCCCAGAGCCUUGGGGCCGUGACUGGGGAGGAAAACCAUGCAGAGCACAAAU